AGAGUUUGAUCCUGGCUCAGAUUGAACGCUGGCGGCAUGCUUUACACAUGCAAGUCGAACGGCAGCACGGGUGCUUGCACCUGGUGGCGAGUGGCGAACGGGUGAGUAAUGCACCGGAACGUACCCAGUAAUGGGGGAUAACACAUCGAAAGAUGUGCUAAUACCGCAUACGCCCUGAGGGGGAAAGCGGGGGAUCGUAAGACCUCGCGUUAUUGGAGCGGCCGAUGCCGGAUUAGCUAGUUGGUGAGGUAAGAGCUCACCAAGGCGACGAUCCGUAGCUGGUCUGAGAGGACGACCAGCCACACUGGGACUGAGACACGGCCCAGACUCCUACGGGAGGCAGCAGUGGAGAAUUUUGGACAAUGGGCGCAAGCCUGAUCCAGCCAUG
RNAcentral lists this ribosomal RNA (388 nucleotides) under uncultured bacterium. RNAcentral describes it as "bacterial SSU rRNA". It matches the Rfam family "Bacterial small subunit ribosomal RNA", at positions 8 to 396 of the family's 1533-position model. The record is from RNAcentral.